AUACGAAGGGGGCUAGCGUUGUUCGGAAUUACUGGGCGUAAAGGACGCGUAGGCGGGUUGGCAAGUCAGAUGUGAAAUCCUACAGCUUAACUGUAGAACUGCAUUUGAAACUGCUAACCUAGAGUAUGGGAGGGGGAGAUGGAAUUAGUGGUGUAGGGGUAAAAUCCGUAGAUAUCACUAGGAAUACCGAAAGCGAAGGCGAUCUCCUGGAACAUAACUGACGCUAAGGCGUGAAAGCGUGGGGAGCAAACAGGAUUAGAAACCCUAGUAGUCC
RNAcentral lists this ribosomal RNA (274 nucleotides) under uncultured bacterium. RNAcentral's name for it is "partial 16S ribosomal RNA". It matches the Rfam family "Bacterial small subunit ribosomal RNA", at positions 523 to 796 of the family's 1533-position model. The record is from RNAcentral.